RNAcentral lists this ribosomal RNA (584 nucleotides) under Alternaria abundans. Its description in RNAcentral is "eukaryotic LSU rRNA". The stretch from base 209 to 362 matches the Rfam family "5.8S ribosomal RNA". The record is from RNAcentral. Lineage: Eukaryota; Fungi; Ascomycota; Dothideomycetes; Pleosporales; Pleosporaceae.
AGUUGGGACAUUACUAAUAUGAGGGCGGGCUGGAUCCCUCCGGCUGGGCACUGCUUCACGGCGUGCGCAGUAGGGGCCGGCCCUGCUGAACUAUUCACCCGUGUCUUUUGCGUACCUCUUGUUUCCUGGGCGGGCUCGCCCGCCACCAGGACCAACCAUAAACCUUUUUGUAAUAGCAAUCCGCGUCAGUAACAACGUAAUUAAUUACAACUUUCAACAACGGAUCUCUUGGUUCUGGCAUCGAUGAAGAACGCAGCGAAAUGCGAUACGUAGUGUGAAUUGCAGAAUUCAGUGAAUCAUCGAAUCUUUGAACGCACAUUGCGCCCUUUGGUAUUCCAAAGGGCAUGCCUGUUCGAGCGUCAUUUGUACCCUCAAGCUUUGCUUGGUGUUGGGCGUCUUUGUCUCCAGCUUGCUGGAGACUCGCCUUAAAGUCAUUGGCAGCCGGCCUACUGGUUUCGGAGCGCAGCACAAGUCGCGCUCUUCAUCCAGCCAAGGUCAGCGUCCAGCAAGCCUUUUUUCAACCUUUGACCUCGGAUCAGGUAGGGAUACCCGCUGAACUUAAGCAUAUCUAAAGGGGGGAAGAA